AUUGAACGCUGGCGGCAGGCCUAACACAUGCAAGUCGAGCGGAUGAAGGGAGCUUGCUCCUGGAUUCAGCGGCGGACGGGUGAGUAAUGCCUAGGAAUCUGCCUGGUAGUGGGGGAUAACGUCCGGAAACGGGCGCUAAUACCGCAUACGUCCUGAGGGAGAAAGUGGGGGAUCUUCGGACCUCACGCUAUCAGAUGAGCCUAGGUCGGAUUAGCUAGUUGGUGGGGUAAAGGCCUACCAAGGCGACGAUCCGUAACUGGUCUGAGAGGAUGAUCAGUCACACUGGAACUGAUACACGGUCCAGACUCCUACGGGAGGCAGCAGUGGGGAAUAUUGGACAAUGGGCGAAAGCCUGAUCCAGCCAUGCCGCGUGUGUGAAGAAGGUCUUCGGAUUGUAAAGCACUUUAAGUUGGGAGGAAGGGCAGUAAGUUAAUACCUUGCUGUUUUGACGUUACCAACAGAAUAAGCACCGGCUAACUUCGUA
This 484-nucleotide ribosomal RNA is filed under the name uncultured bacterium. Its description in RNAcentral is "partial 16S ribosomal RNA". It matches the Rfam family "Bacterial small subunit ribosomal RNA", at positions 30 to 507 of the family's 1533-position model. The record is from RNAcentral.